Molecule: non-coding RNA, 148 nt
Organism: Pan troglodytes (chimpanzee)
Lineage: Eukaryota; Metazoa; Chordata; Mammalia; Primates; Hominidae
Rfam family: Metazoan signal recognition particle RNA
About the family: The signal recognition particle (SRP) is a universally conserved ribonucleoprotein. It is involved in the co-translational targeting of proteins to membranes.
Source: Rfam
GCCGGGUGUAGUGGCACAUACCUGUAAUCCCAACUACUAGGGAGGCUGAGGUGGGAGGAUUGCUUGAGCCCGGGAGGUCUAGGCUGCAGUGAGCCAUGAGCUUGCUACUGCACUCCAGCCUGGAUGACAGAGUGAGAGCCCAUCUCAA